RNAcentral lists this ribosomal RNA (151 nucleotides) under Lilium longiflorum (trumpet lily). Its description in RNAcentral is "partial 18S ribosomal RNA". It matches the Rfam family "Eukaryotic small subunit ribosomal RNA", at positions 1684 to 1831 of the family's 1831-position model. The record is from RNAcentral. Lineage: Eukaryota; Viridiplantae; Streptophyta; Magnoliopsida; Liliales; Liliaceae.
ACGAAUUCAUGGUCCGGUGAAGUGUUCGGAUCACGGCCACGCAUGAAGUUUGCCAUCUAUGAUGUCACGAGAAGUCUACUGAACCUUAUCAUUUAGAGGAAGGAGAAGUCGUAACAAGGUUUCCGUAGGUGAACCUGCGGAAGGAUCAUUG